UCAGGCUUAGAAAAUCAUCAGAGAUUGAAUAAGCUGAUUGACUUGAUAUUUGGUUAAUUCUCUGAGUGUAGGAUUCUUCUCCAUUGAAAAGCCUGGAAAGAGAAAUAGAGUGUAGAAAUACAUAUAUUAGCAAAUUAUUUUAAAUAUAUUUAUUCAUCCAUCAAUAUAAUGAUUGAACAAAAGUCUCCAAAAGAAAAAGAGUAAAGAUGCAUUAGAUACUUGUUUCUAAGCUGAACAGCAUCUGCAACAUCUGGAUUGAUUAACAAUUUUGUCCCAAAGCAAGCAUUUGAUAUCUUUACCUCUCCU
Molecule: long non-coding RNA, 306 nt
Filed under: Elaeis guineensis (African oil palm)
Lineage: Eukaryota; Viridiplantae; Streptophyta; Magnoliopsida; Arecales; Arecaceae
Description: long non-coding RNA (EGUI_LNC021569)
Source: RNAcentral